RNAcentral lists this ribosomal RNA (253 nucleotides) under uncultured bacterium. Its description in RNAcentral is "partial 16S ribosomal RNA". It matches the Rfam family "Bacterial small subunit ribosomal RNA", at positions 524 to 776 of the family's 1533-position model. The record is from RNAcentral.
UACGGAGGGAGCUAGCGUUGUUCGGAAUUACUGGGCGUAAAGCGCGCGUAGGCGGCUGUUCAAGUCAGAGGUGAAAGCCCGGGGCUCAACCCCGGAACUGCCUUUGAAACUAGAUAGCUAGAAUCUUGGAGAGGUCAGUGGAAUUCCGAGUGUAGAGGUGAAAUUCGUAGAUAUUCGGAAGAACACCAGUGGCGAAGGCGACUGACUGGACAAGUAUUGACGCUGAGGUGCGAAAGCGUGGGGAGCAAACAGG